AGAUUGAACAUAAGAGUUUGAUCCUGGCUCAGAUUGAACGCUGGCGGCAUGCUUUACACAUGCAAGUCGAACGGCAGCGGGGAAGUGCUUGCACUUCUGCCGGCGAGUGGCGAACGGGUGAGUAAUGCAUUGGAACGUACCGGGUAAUGGGGGAUAACUUGCCGAAAGGUAAGCUAAUACCGCAUACGCU
RNAcentral lists this ribosomal RNA (190 nucleotides) under Conchiformibius steedae. Its description in RNAcentral is "partial 16S ribosomal RNA". It matches the Rfam family "Bacterial small subunit ribosomal RNA", at positions 1 to 179 of the family's 1533-position model. Lineage: Bacteria; Pseudomonadati; Pseudomonadota; Betaproteobacteria; Neisseriales; Neisseriaceae. The record is from RNAcentral.